AGACACUAGAAAACGAGAAGGAAACAGGGCAGGAAUAACGACUGGCGGUGAUGGGGCUUAGUGCAUCAGCGGUACCCUCUCUCUCAUUUCCCUUGUGCUGCACGCCCAGCCGCUUCGCUGGUCCGCACGCCCAAUAGAGCCCGCUCGCACAGUCGUCAUCACGAGGGCCAGGCGCACCGCCUCCUGCUCCGCUCUUCGCCACGCCAAGCUUCCCCUUCUCGCGUUUGCGUUUGCUCUUCUUUCUGUUCGGGGCGGCGCCUGCUCUUGUGUGACGAGUCGGCAGCGCUUCUUGCGCCUCUCCUCUUCCCCGGCUGCAUCCUCGACAGUUCUCCUCCUCGGCAUCAUGAACGCUGCGCACGACCUCUACAUGGAGUGCUGUCAACGGCACGGCGUGAAGCCAAACAGCGACAUCGAGGCUCAGGUGAUGGCGUCGGAUCUCCUUCACAUGCGACUGAUCGAUGCCUCGCACACCUUCCUCGGCCGCCUUGGCGUGCUCGCCGUGCUCUCGCUCGUGCGGCAGCAUCGGUGCAUAGAAGAGGUGCGCCUGCCCCAGAACAGCGUUGAUGAGACAUGCAUGAGUCUCCUGGCAGACAUUAUCACCGACGCCCACCCGAGUCUGCGCAGUGUCGACGUCGCCGGCAACCUCCUUUCCACACCAGCUAUUCGCCGAGUGUGGGCGGCGGCCCGGCAAAACACGCGCUUCACUCACCUCGUCCUGGAGGGCUGCGGGGUGAUGGACGAGUGGGUCACACGGCUGCAGACAACGCUGCGGGCUAACGAGGAUAUGGAGCUGCACGGCUACGAGCCAUAUGGCAUACCGCGCAGCCCUCACUCGUGGCACACCGUCUUUCUCUUAACUCUUGGCGCCCGCGAGGCGGUGCAAGAAUACUGCGAGAAGUGCCUGCCUGCGGUGAACAAGUACAUGGCCGCAGCGCGAGUCCGCGUGGCGGCCCUCACCCUCAGCGAAGGGGACUCGGCGGAGCAGGUCGAGUCCAAGCUGGCGCGGUGCCAGGACGCUUUCAACCAUCAACUGACGUGGUGCGUUGCCCUCCUCGGCGCCGAGCCGUUCUCGAAGCCACAGCUGUCUGCGCUGGCACAGGUGCUGUGCCAGAAGCCGCCGUCCCAACUCCCACUGCGUGACAAGAUGGGAAAACUGCGGCCCCGCGUCUACCGUGCGUCGCGCUCCUUCUUCUGCUACACGCCGAUGUCAUGGGAGGUGUCGGGCGGCGUCAACGACGUGGUUCCGGCAAGCCAGUGGCUGCGCAGUGCGGGCUUCUCCGGAGCCGCGUGUUACGAGUCCCUCACGGCGACGGUGACCGUGCCGGCGGCGGUGAUGACACCGAGAAACCGAGUGGUGCGCUGGCAGAGCGACCUCUUCACCUCCCUUCAGAUGACGUUCCGGGAACCCGCGGUGGACGGGAGUACGCCAGCCGUCGUGCACGCGGACGAGGUGCAGGGCCUCGAGGCGUCGCAGCUCUUCUACACCAACGCCGACGAGAUCGAUAUGGUGCGCGGCUUUGUGCUGUGUGGCCGCUUUCACCCCAAAAAGACGGCGCUCGUGCUGGGGUACGUCUCUGGCCCCUACCGAGACAGUAGCUCCCCAUUCAUUCUCUACGGCGCCGGCUGCAUUGGCAAGAGCAGCAUCCUGUGCAACGUGGCGAGUCUGCUGUGGGAGGGGCGGCCCAGCGUGGGUGGCGAGGUGCCGGCGCGCGUGGUGUGCCACGUCGUGGACGUCGAUCACUGCAGCGUUGCCGUGUUUUUGUACCGCCUUCUUCACCUCUUCGCCCCUGGGAGCACCCUUUGGUUCACCAGCGUUGAUGCACUGGCGGAGGGUGUGCGGGAUGCGAUCCGCACCUACGCCGGACCAACGGUAGCUCUGUUGCUGGGCCGCAUCGACCUGCUCGACACAUGUGGGUGCCACUGCAGCAUACUGGCAGCGUGGCUGCCGCAUAUCCUCCCCCAGGCGGUCCGUAUCGUGGUGUCUCUCGACACCGAGAGCCCGGUGCUCCCGCUGCUGCGUAAGCGCAUGCCGCAGCCUUUCGAGUGCUUGUGCCCGCCCAUGGCGGACAUAAACUCGCUGCAGCUCUUCAAGACGUAUCUGAAGGAGAGAAACGUGGUGCUGCCCGGGAUGGACAUGUCUGAGCUCAAGUCACGCGGGGCCCUCGGCAUGUCAGAGAAGAGCUACCUGCAGAAGGAAGAGGCUCUGACGGUGCUAUACCCGCGCCUGGCUUCGUCGUAUGCGCACCACCUCUUGAACACCGGGAGCGACGUUGAAUCCGAGUACGAGGCGCACCUGCUGAUCGAGGGCGCGCUGCCACCGACAGUCGCGGAGCUAGUACAGUCGCUGCACGACAAGGCUGUGAUGCUGCAUCCGCAGAUCACUGUGGAGACGCUGCUCGUACUGGUUUCUCUGGCCCCUUUGCCGGCCUCGGAGCUGGUGUACAUCUGCGAGGAACUGGGCUCGUGCCCCCGCCACACCACCCUUUCUGCCUUGCUGAUGCUGUCGGACAUGGGCCUCUUCCUGUGGUACAAAGAUGCCACCGCCCAUGUCGCCCACCCGAUCCUCAAGACGCUCUUUUUGGAUAUCUGCCGCGAGCACGUGCCGCGACUCAGUGUGUUGCUAGAGUCCCACCUGUACAGACUCGUCAUCACCUACAGUGCGGAGGUGCCGCAUGCGUUUUGGCACCUGGCGCCUUUGAUGAUAGAAAACGGCAACAUGCGGCAGGCAGUGCAACUCCUGUGCAACCCGCUGCUCGUGGACGCCAUGUUGCGGCGCGGGCCGGUGCACCGGCUGCACGUACUGGAUGCGUUUCUGCAUCUCCUGCAGGCGCGGACGUUACUGCGUGAGGUGGCCUCCCUUGUUGGUCCGCCUGUGCCGCAAGUGAUGGCCGAGGGCCCUCUCAUGUGCUGCCUCCGCGAGGUGGCGAACUACUCCUCCGACCUCUACCAGACGGCGCUCCUGCGCCGCUCCUUCUCGCCGUAUGCUUCCGCGGAGGCCGCGACGAAGUGCAUUACCCCGCAGCUGUUUCUGCGACCCCUUAACGAUGGCCAGGAGAACACCGCCACGGUGUCGGCGCGCGUGAGUGAGGCGUGCUCGUGGUGCCACUGCAGAGGCGGCUGUGUGGUAGCAGCCACUAACGAGUCCGUGUUUGUGUUCACCUCAGACCUCGGCAAGCCCAUCGCCGAGCUGCACAUGCCCUUUGAGCGGCAGAAGCGCAUCACGGGUGUACUUCACGCAGCCGGCACACGCGUGCUGGUGGCGAGCGAGACGCAGGUGCUUGUCUGGGACUACGAAAGCAACCUGAACUUCCUCUUCGCUGACAUAAGCAUUGAGGCGCGGGCGACGAAUCUCGACACGUUCGGCUCCCUGCUCGUGGCCACCAGUACCGCCACAAACCAGCUGUGCCUCAUUGAUGUGCUGAAGAAGCGCAUUGUGCGGGAGCUGCCGGACAUGGAGGAGGGCGUUCGCCAGCGUGGUUUCUUCUGCGGCAACCGUCUACUGCUGCUCAGUCGCUGCUGCCUGUGCCUCUACGAUGAAGAGAUGAAGGAGUACGUCGCCUUUACACACGACAGCCUCGUGACCACCGUUAGCUGUAACCGCGACGGCCGCGUUUUGGUGUCGUACGCCGGCACAUACCUGCACGUCUGGACCUCCGCCGGUGAGCUUCUGCACCGCAUCGACGUUGGGCCCGAUCCGCUCGUGCGGCUGCGCAUGAGUGCCACUGGUGCCCACUAUGUGACUCAGCAGGGCACCAUUCUGCAGGUGUGGCGCACUCUCGCCGGAGCCGCAUGCAGCACCCUGCGCAGCCCCUUCAGCGUGGACUCGGAUAUCGAGUACGUCACGUUCACAGAGGACUCUGCGAAGGUGGUGGCGCGCUCUGGGCCUUACAUUAUCGUGUGGGACCCAGAUAAGGGAAGCCUCAUCGGCGCCGAGUCGGCCCCUGUGGGCCUCAUACAGCACGUGGCAGUGCAUGAUUCCAACGUGUUCGCGACCACCACCACCGGCGACGUUCAUUCGUGGUCGUUGGAGCGAGGACUCUCCUCUAUAGACCAGGUCAAGGAGGGACAGCGCACCACCAACAUUCUGCGAAACGCCAAGGUAUCGACGCAGUCGGUGCGGAGCGUCUCGACGAACCGCGCAGGGACCCUUCUUGUGACGGUGGAUGCAGCGCACUACCUGCGGCUCUACUCACUCAUCACCGGGGCACCGAUCGAGCACACCGUCGGGCGCGUGCGGAGCGCGGUGGCGGUGGGGCCCGAUAUGGUAGUUUUUAUGCCGCAGGAGGCGAGCCACCUCGGCUUCUACUACCUGGGAGGGAAGACCCAGCUUGACAAGCGCGCGCUCCCCAAGACCGCGCUGCCAGAGGCGGACUACGCCCUCUACGUGUCCCCUGACGAGCUCUGCGUCGGCGUCACGGUCCAUCAGUGCCACCACAGUCGCACGCUCAUCUACGAGGUGGAGAGGGGCGAGACCACGUUGUGCCAGCUGCUGGGCCACGCAGGUCGGAUCAUCGAGGUGAGCUUCUUUGGCAGCUUCGCCUUUACGGUUGGUGAAAAGGACGCGUGCGUCCGGCUCUGGAGUCUCUCGCGCAAGGCGGAGCGCACGUCCUAUACGCAUCCCUGCCCACUGGUAGCUGCCGCCGGCAAUGGAUCGGGGAUGCUUUUUUGCGUGGACGCCGAGGGGGCCGUCGUGCGUUUGCAUGUCGACAACAUCGUCUCUGUGAAGCACGCCGCCCUCGUCGUCACGAGCCUGAAGCUUCACGCUGCUGCGCCGCUUGUGCAAGCAAGCGCCAUCCUGCAACUGUCCGUGUAUAAGAAUUACCUCAUCCUGGUCCGGGCCACGGGCGAGCUGCUGCUGCUGGGCACGCUGUGCGACGACGUCGGCCACCGCGUUGCCUUCCUCGAUUGCCAGCGCGUGUGUGUGUGUACCAUCAAGGACGCCCCUGUGCUCCUCACCGGCCACGGCCAAGGCAAGGUGAUACUGAACUCGCUGCUGCACGCCGGCGUGAGAGAGAAGAGUCGCAGGUCUUCAGGACGAUAGGCGCCGCACUGCCAUGUGUCUGGGCGUUUCUGUGUGUGUGUGUGUGGGUGUUGUUUCUCAGAUGUAAAGUACGCUGACUUCGCCGCAGGAGGGGAGGAGAUCGGUGGCACAUCAAGCCAGCACUGCCACAUUGGCCGGUGGCGUGGAUGUCGAUGCCGCGGUGGUUUGCACCAUGGCCAGAUGUCUGUUUGACGUGCCCUCGCCUUCCGCUCUUUCUUCGUUGUGUGUCUCCUCGUUUUGUGGAACCGCAAUUGCCCGCUUCUCUUCGUCCCCCCUCCCCGCGUGCUUGUUUGUGUGCACCUGUCUCCCGUACACACGCAC
Molecule: unclassified non-coding RNA, 5362 nt
Filed under: Leishmania donovani
Lineage: Eukaryota; Euglenozoa; Kinetoplastea; Trypanosomatida; Trypanosomatidae
Description: gene:LdHU3.30.0200(CDS-product:hypothetical_prote in_conserved)
Source: RNAcentral